Molecule: long non-coding RNA, 775 nt
Filed under: Homo sapiens (human)
Lineage: Eukaryota; Metazoa; Chordata; Mammalia; Primates; Hominidae
Description: HSALNT0319485
Source: RNAcentral
GGAGGGGCGUGGACCCAAGAAGUCCCUGUGCGCUUGCGCAGAGACCGAACUACCGCUUUCCCCGUAACCAGGGAGACUGCAGUUUGCAGUGAUGUGGCUAAGAUACCCUUGUGCUAUUAAAGGCACAUUUACGUAUCUUUCAACGCAGUUUGUACCUUUGUUUAGGGUUCUAUUGAACUUUCUCUGUGCUCUUUAGAAAACCGUCGAAUAAAGGUAACCAUCUUUUUGGGUGCCUGGGCAUGGUCAUUGUCCCAGAGUUUUAACAGAAGUCUCUACUAAAGUAUCCUGAUUUGCAAGAACUCAAAUGAUGCUGUUUUUGGACAGGGAGGUCAUGGACCAAGUACAAAGCGGCAAAAGGAUGGAAUUAAGGGAUAUUUCCAGUGAAAGAAAGAAGAAAGCAUGCUUUUCUCUUGACUGUGCAGAAAAAAAAACUAUGUUUCUUUGAUUCUCCAUUUUACUAGAUGCCAUACCUUUGCAAUUACUUCAUGUGGAGUCUUGACCAAGAUUCAGGAAAUACUAGAACUUUCAGUCCCAGAAGGUUACUCUGGGCAUUACUAGUCCCCAUCAUUAUGAGUUGAGUUUUACUAGUUAAUUUCAGACGAAAAAUAUUUGUUUUUCCCCAAAUUCUGGGGUUACGUACUUUUACUACCUAUGAACUGACAACUGUAUCUUCAGUAAUUACAAUUUCCAACAAAAUGUUAUAGGAAUAAAGAAAAGAUGUUAGUUCAUUAUUCAGAGUUUAUGUUUAUUCCUUUAAUAAAAAGAAAUGGUCUGU